GCCAGGCAUGGUGGCGCAUGCCUGUACCUGGGAGGCUGAGGUGGGAGGAUCGUUUGAGCCCAUGAGUUCUGGGCUGUAGUGUGCUAUGCUGAUCAGGUGUCUGCACUAAGUUCAGUAUCAACAUGGUGACCUCCCAGGAGCAGGGGACCACCAGAUUGCCUAAGGAGGGGUGAACAGGCCCAGGUCAAAACUAAUUUGCUGACCAGUAGUGGGAUUGCGCCUGUGAAUAGCCGCUGCACUCCAGCCUGGGCAACAUAGUGAGACCCCAUCUCAA
RNAcentral lists this signal recognition particle RNA (274 nucleotides) under Callithrix jacchus (white-tufted-ear marmoset). Its description in RNAcentral is "Metazoan signal recognition particle RNA (ENSCJAG00000073082.1)". It matches the Rfam family "Metazoan signal recognition particle RNA". From Rfam's summary of the family: The signal recognition particle (SRP) is a universally conserved ribonucleoprotein. Lineage: Eukaryota; Metazoa; Chordata; Mammalia; Primates; Cebidae. The record is from Rfam by way of RNAcentral.